Molecule: ribosomal RNA, 680 nt
Filed under: uncultured euryarchaeote
Lineage: Archaea; Methanobacteriati; Methanobacteriota
Description: bacterial SSU rRNA
Rfam family: Archaeal small subunit ribosomal RNA
Source: RNAcentral
CCCUACGGGGUGCAGCAGUUACGAAACCUUCGCAAUGCUUUAACGAGCGACGAGGGAACCUGAAGUGCUCAUGCUCUGCAUGAGCUUUUGCUUACUUCAAACAGGUAGGCUAAUAAGGGGUGGGUAAUACGAGUGCCAGCCGCCGCGGUAAUACUCGAGCCCCAAGUGGUAUUCGCGAUUAGUGGGUCUAAAGCGUCCGUAGCCGGUUCGAUAAGUCCCUGGUGAAAUCCUUUGGUAAACUGAAGGGCUUGCUGGGGAUACUGUUGAACUUGGGACUGGGAGAGGAUAGACGUACUCCCGGGGGAGGGGUAAAAUCCUAUAAUCCUGGGGGGACGACCUGUGGCGAAGGCUUCUAUCUAGAACAGGUCCGACGGUGAGGGACGAAACCUAGGGUAGCGACCGGGAUUAGAUACCCCGUUAGUCCUAGGCGUAAACGAUGCCCGUUUGGUGUCGCAAUCCUUACGAGGGUUUGCGGUGCCGGAGCGUAGGUGUUAAACGGGCCACCUGGGGAGUACGGCCGCAAGGCUGAAACUUAAGCGAAUUGGCGGGGGAGCACACAAGGGGUGGAGGCUGCGGUUCAAUUGGAUCCAACGCCGGAAAUCUCACGGGGAUCGACAGCAGAAUGAAUGUCAGUCUGAAAGGCUUACCAGACAGCUGAGAGGAAGUGCAUGGCCAAGGCG